CCAGCCCACACACGCCUCAUGCUGGGAGCUUUAGAUCCUGUCACUAUUGCGCGAUGCCAACCAGGAGCCUCGGGCCUCAGAGGCGCCCUGCCAAACCCAGUCCGGCCACAGGCAGGAUGGCUUGGGAAACUGCAGUGCCCUGGCUGGCUAACCCGAUUAGCAAAGGAUCAAAACCGGCAUUUGUUAAGUACGUAACCGGUACCAGAGCUUGUGCCAGAUGCUGAGAUGGCGAAGACAAGACAGAGGGCAGAGAGUGAGAAGAACCUGCCUUGGGUAGCUGCUGCCCCUUCAGCUGGAACCUCAAUACAUACAUGUGGGACAGUGUUAACCCUGUCAAACCUGGCCAGAUCAAUAGCUUGAAGAACUACGUCAGCCUAAAUGAGCCACUGCAGCCAAGCUGAGAUGCAUGUGAAAUAAAUGCUCAUUGCUAUGCCACUAAGAUUUUGCAGGUGCUUGUUAUGCAGCAGUAGCUGACUAAUAUAACCCUCUAUCUUUCCAACAUCAUGGCAGUCAGCAUUCUCGAUGAUAGAAAAGAGAAGAACAACAUCCCUCAGCUGUCCAUUGCAGCAGUCACUGGUCACAGGCCUUAUUGCAAGAAAAUCCAGAUCACACAUUACAGUUUCAACUCACGGUGGCCUCUCACUGUGCCCUGCACCACCAAACACAGCACUGCCACCAGGAGCAUUCUGGAGGCCAAUGUAUCUGUGAGAAGCCUCAAGUAAAUUCCAAGACUCUAUCUCCAUCAAUCUUUUAGUGCCCAUGGAAGUCCUGUCCAAAGAUGGGUGAGAUUAUGUCUGAACUGAGGAGAAAGAAUGGCAUUAUACCUUUCACAAAGUAUUGUAAAUGUUGCCUCCAACCCAUCCCAGGAUGAACACCUUUAUCAGAAUGCCACACCAGUGUUAUUCUCAUGCUCUUUCUAACUUUCAUGUUUCCA
Long non-coding RNA from Lemur catta (Ring-tailed lemur), 934 nucleotides. RefSeq lists it as uncharacterized. The record is from RefSeq and is a predicted model, not a curated record. The transcript is spliced from 3 exons. NCBI's taxonomy places the organism in Eukaryota, Metazoa, Chordata, Mammalia, Primates, Lemuridae.